Molecule: long non-coding RNA, 911 nt
Organism: Amblyraja radiata (thorny skate)
Lineage: Eukaryota; Metazoa; Chordata; Chondrichthyes; Rajiformes; Rajidae
Exons: 3
Source: RefSeq, a predicted model, not a curated record
UGCAAGCCUGCUCCUCAGCUGAUAUCCGGGACAACCUAAACCUACCUGGGAGAACUUUAUUAAUGGGUAACAAUCUAAAUUCAUCCACAACAUUUGUAAAAUAUACAGUUUUGUCCAUUUGUUUAUGAGAUAACUCAAUGUUUUAAUUAGCACUCUGCCUUACAGGUGGUUCUGGCAACUUUAAACAAAAAAACAACAUUCAUGUGAAUAUCUGCUUUGACUUUAACUCCAAUUAUAAGUUGUCUUUUCCAAUUCCACUUUUUACUUUCUUGUGUUGGAUACUGAGAAACAUUUGCAAGUGUUUUAACUUUAUUAUUUCAAAGUUCUUCACAGCAAAUUGAUUAUUAUUGUUAUGGGUACUGAGAUACAGUAAAAAGCUUUGUUUGCAUGCAAUCCAGUCUGAUAAGACUGUACAUUAAUACAAUCUAGCCAUCCACAGUGCACAGAUAAGGACAAAGGGAACAACACUCAUUGCAAGAUCACUGUUGAAAAUGCAUAUAUACUAAGAUCCCACAAACAGCAAUUGAUAAACAUAAAAUCUUAGUUUUGGUAAUGUUAAUUGAUAAGAACCCUACAUAUGAGUUUCUUUUACUUCAUCUGAAAUAGGAAAUUAGGUCUGAGCCAAAUUUCAUGUAUUAAAAUGAAACCAUAACAAUGGUUCAGGUAAGUGUGCUACUGGUACAAUUAUGCCUCCAUUAAUGGACUUUCAACUUUUUAAUGCUAUAAAUAUGUCCAAUUAUUUCAUUGGCGGUAGCAUCAACUGCAGAUUAGCAGCCCCAGAGGCAAUUCAUAAGCAGGAAAGGAAGGAAGCAGUUUAACGUAUGAGUUUAAAUGCUAUAUAUUUUUUACAUUAAAAAGGGAAGGGAUCAAAAACAUUAACCAAAAUGCUGCUGUUGUUGGACAUCUGAUUU